Molecule: non-coding RNA, 780 nt
Organism: Maylandia zebra (zebra mbuna)
Lineage: Eukaryota; Metazoa; Chordata; Actinopteri; Cichliformes; Cichlidae
Source: the annotation of a RefSeq genome assembly
CAAGACAGGCAGAUGGAAAGAAAGUGUAGAACGCAGCAGGUUUUCUCACAGUAAAUUCCAAUGACUUGCAUGAAGAUACUGUAUUUAUGUGUAAUUUUGCAGGAGGCCAAAGUGGAUCUUUGAAUAAAACUGACAGAGACUACACACUAGAGCCAACAGUGACAGUCCACAUGCUCCCACAGCUGCACACUGACCAGUUUCAGUCUGAAGAUAAAAUCACUCUGGUGUGUCUGUUCACCAGUACUGUGAAUAAGAUGUAUAAAAUCGAAUGGUCAGAAAGUUAUGAACGAAAUUCUAGACCUUAUGCUACAGCCACCGACGACCCUGCACAGCAGAGCAAAAAUGACCAGAAAUGGCGAAGUAUGAGUCUUUACACCACCAGUAAGGCAAACUGGGUCAAAAAAGAUCCAACCAAAGAGUUCACCUGCUGUGUCGGAGUCGGACCUAAACAUAUUUUAAAAACAGUGUCCAGUGCCCAUGAAUACCUUUGUGAUCUGAGUUGGGACGAUGUCACCGCUGAAGAGGAUUUUAAUAGCCUCUGGUCCACAGCUUCCUCCUUCAUAUUCUUCAUAUUCUCUCUCUUCUAUAGCAUAAUCAUCAGUCUUCUUAAGAUAAAGAGAUGAUAACAAAUGGGAUGGAAUGGGUGCGCUUCAUUUCUAAUCUGCUUUUAAAAUUGAUUUUUCAUUUUAUAUUUAUGCACAUAAUCAUUCAUUUUUUAUAUUAAAUAGAUGUCAUAUACAAAUACCCACUUAGGAGAUGUGCAAAAUGUGAAAAAUAAUU